AAAAUCAUAGUUAAGUAUAAUAUUUGAAUUGCACUCAAAAGGUGUCUUCGGACUGAUUUUA
Molecule: transfer RNA, 61 nt
Filed under: Cypridopsis vidua
Lineage: Eukaryota; Metazoa; Arthropoda; Ostracoda; Podocopida; Cyprididae
Description: tRNA-Ala
Source: RNAcentral